CCUACGGGAGGCAGCAGUAGGGAAUCUUCCACAAUGGACGAAAGUCUGAUGGAGCAACGCCGCGUGAGUGAAGAAGGGUUUCGGCUCGUAAAACUCUGUUGUUAAAGAAGAAUAUAUCUGAGAGUAACUGUUCAGGUAUUGACGGUAUUUAACCAGAAAGCCACGGCUAACUACGUGCCAGCAGCCGCGG
RNAcentral lists this ribosomal RNA (190 nucleotides) under uncultured Lactobacillus sp. RNAcentral's name for it is "partial 16S ribosomal RNA". It matches the Rfam family "Bacterial small subunit ribosomal RNA", at positions 338 to 520 of the family's 1533-position model. The record is from RNAcentral. Lineage: Bacteria; Bacillati; Bacillota; Bacilli; Lactobacillales; Lactobacillaceae.